RNAcentral lists this transfer RNA (73 nucleotides) under Acinetobacter baumannii. RNAcentral describes it as "tRNA-Gly". It matches the Rfam family "tRNA". From Rfam's summary of the family: Transfer RNA (tRNA) molecules are approximately 80 nucleotides in length. Their secondary structure includes four short double-helical elements and three loops (D, anti-codon, and T loops). Further hydrogen bonds mediate the characteristic L-shaped molecular structure. tRNAs have two regions of fundamental functional importance: the anti-codon, which is responsible for specific mRNA codon recognition, and the 3' end, to which the tRNAs corresponding amino acid is attached (by aminoacyl-tRNA synthetases). tRNAs cope with the degeneracy of the genetic code in two manners: having more than one tRNA (with a specific anti-codon) for a particular amino acid; and 'wobble' base-pairing, i.e. permitting non-standard base-pairing at the 3rd anti-codon position. The record is from RNAcentral. Lineage: Bacteria; Pseudomonadati; Pseudomonadota; Gammaproteobacteria; Moraxellales; Moraxellaceae.
GCGGGAAUAGCUCAGUUGGUAGAGCAUAACCUUGCCAAGGUUGGGGUCGCGAGUUCGAGUCUCGUUUCGCUCC